GACGAACGCUGGCGGCGUGCUUAACACAUGCAAGUCGAACGGUGAAGGGACUGGUUUUGCUGGUCCUGGAUGAGUGGCGAACGGGUGAGUAACACGUGAGUAACCUGCCCCCUUCUUCUGGAUAACCGCAUGAAAGUGUGGCUAAUACGGGAUAUUCUGGGUCUGUCGCAUGGUGGGCCUGGGAAAGAUUGCGCCUUUUUUGGUGUUUUUGGUGGGGGAUGGGCUCGCGGCCUAUCAGCUUGUUGGUGGGGUGAUGGCCUACCAAGGCGGUGACGGGUAGCCGGCCUGAGAGGGUGGACGGGCACACUGGGACUGAGACACGGCCCAGACUCCUACGGGAGGCAGCAGUGGGGAAUAGUGCACAAUGGGCGCAAGCCUGAUGCAGCGACGCCGCGUGAGGGAUGGAGGCCUUCGGGUUGUGAACCUCUUUCGCCAGUGAAGCAGGCCUGCCUCUUUUUGUGGGUGGGUUGACGGUAGCUGGAUAAGAAGCGCCGGCUAACUACGUG
RNAcentral lists this ribosomal RNA (506 nucleotides) under uncultured bacterium. Its description in RNAcentral is "partial 16S ribosomal RNA". It matches the Rfam family "Bacterial small subunit ribosomal RNA", at positions 28 to 507 of the family's 1533-position model. The record is from RNAcentral.